ACACUGGCCGCAAUGGCCGCACUACAAGUCGCGCGCCGCCGACGCCGCCACGAAAGGAAAGGGAGGCAGGAAGUUAUUUGCGCGGGAAAGAAGCUGGGCACCUUUUCGAGGAGAUGUGCGAAUUAGCAUUUAAGCAAUCCAGUACAACCUCCAGCUCUACACCUCCUUGCCGUAAGGUUGCCAGUAAAACUGUAUAAAAGGAACCUGAGCCUGAAGGUUUCAGGCGGCACACCUUGGAAAUUCUACACAUGAUCCGGCUGAGGCUUGAUAACCUGAAUGCCCUGAUGGGCACUGUGUUAGAAGCUGUGAACAAGCACAAGGAGGACGACGACAACUUCCCCGUUCAGGAGCCAACUGCAAGCUACAACACCUUCAUGGAAUCUGAGUGCCAACUACAGGCUAGCGAAGCCAUGAGAAAAAAAGCUGGUAAAUUGGUUCGUGGGACUCGGAGGGAAGACUGUAGGGGCCACUACUCGUCGACUGCUGGAAGCUCUAAUGACCCAAAACGUUGUGGUGAAUUUCAGCUGGAAAGGGCAAAAGGGCAAGGCGAAAUUCCAACAACUGCAGUGUGUUGAGCUCAUUUACCAGGCUGUAAAAAGAAACCCCCGUAUCACAACGACACGUCACGACAUUGAAGAGGUAAUCAAGACGUGGCUACGACACGCGGCGGAGAAGCUCAGGAAGCUUGAGGAAUCUGGUCUUGGCAACAUCCCCUAACUUUUUAUGAGCAUCUAUAUCCAUGUAUAGUGUGCAUCUUCUUUAAUUCAUGCUUAUUUUUUUUCUUUUCAAGCCCAUCUUCAGGUAGUACUUGUUUGACCCGCAGCCACAAUUACACCACAGAACAAGUUUUGUUAGUUUGUCAUUAUCAUUUCCAGUUAUUUUAGUGUUCAAAUUCUAGUAUCUUUAUCUAAUAUUUUUUUCUCAUUAUUUAUAAUGAAUGCCUCUUGUCUGCAGCUAAAUGAGAACUUGUUAGACCAGCAGCUACAAUUGCACAACACGAGAAGUGAUUAUCAUUUCGUUAUUUUAUUUUUCAAUUUUAGUACCCUCGUCUUGUUUGAUUUUUAUAGUUUCCAGUCAUUUUGCUUAGGAGCCCUGACAAGCCCAAAUUCAUACUUUCUUUGUCUAAA
Molecule: long non-coding RNA, 1127 nt
Organism: Ixodes scapularis (black-legged tick)
Lineage: Eukaryota; Metazoa; Arthropoda; Arachnida; Ixodida; Ixodidae
Exons: 5
Source: RefSeq, a predicted model, not a curated record